Molecule: long non-coding RNA, 862 nt
Organism: Sorghum bicolor (sorghum)
Lineage: Eukaryota; Viridiplantae; Streptophyta; Magnoliopsida; Poales; Poaceae
Exons: 2
Source: RefSeq, a predicted model, not a curated record
AUAGCAAUGAAUUCGCCUUAUUCGUUUGGCUGAUAAGACGUGACAGAAAGUACUAUUGGCUGCUGUUGAAUGAGUAACAUGACAGAUAGGACUCCACCAAUUAGCCCAAUUAUCUUUUAUUAGCACGUGAUUAGCUCUUGUAAAAAGGAUAGCAACAUCAUCCUUGUCCCAAGCAGCAGCUUCCUUUUUCCCACGUUUAAUUUGAUUUGUCUCGUGCCAUGCAUUUGACCAUUAUGUUCUAGAAAUAUGGACGCGGUUGUUCUGUCAUUUCGGAUUCAAUGCUUCCCUCGUGCUGGUACUGACCAUAUAGACCCUGCUUCCUUCGUGCCAGUUCUCCCUAUAAGAACUAGCUAGGAAUUGAAGCUCCCUGUUCUCAUACAAUUCUAGCAAGACCAGCCCAUAGCAGUCAUGUUCCCAUCAUCCUGCUUCCUUAGUACCGGCGUGUUCCUGGCGAUUCAGCUGAUCUUGAUAGGCAUCAUCGGACUGCAUGUUCACGCGUCGGAGUUCGUACACAAGGGAUGUGGCUGGGGAGAUCCUACAGAUCCUUGCGGACCAACAAUGGGGAGCCCAUCGUGCCAUCGUCCGCCGUGUCAUUAGCAGUCUGUGCAAAAAUUAAUGGAAUGAACAUACUGGUUCAGGGUAUAAAUUAAAUGAAUCGCUGAUCAGCAUAAAUAAAGUGGACCUUCUCCAAAUCGAUCGAGGAUCCAUAUUCAUUCAGUGUAUGCAUAUAUCCGAGUGUCUUUACAUAUUGAAGGUUAAUUUACUACAAUAAUCCUGUAGGUACUAGCUAGUUUGUAUUUUGAAAGAUGUUACAUCAAUAUUAUAUCGCAUCAAAUAUACACUGCCUUCUUCUUUUCUUGAA